RNAcentral lists this ribosomal RNA (466 nucleotides) under uncultured bacterium. Its description in RNAcentral is "partial 16S ribosomal RNA". It matches the Rfam family "Bacterial small subunit ribosomal RNA", at positions 28 to 507 of the family's 1533-position model. The record is from RNAcentral.
GACGAACGCUGGCGGCGCGCCUAACACAUGCAAGUCGAACGAGCGAGAGAGAGCUUGCUUUCUCAAGCGAGUGGCGAACGGGUGAGUAACGCGUGAGGAACCUGCCUCAAAGAGGGGGACAACAGUUGGAAACGACUGCUAAUACCGCAUAAGCCCACAGGUCGGCAUCGACCAGAGGGAAAAGGAGCAAUCCGCUUUGAGAUGGCCUCGCGUCCGAUUAGCUAGUUGGUGAGGUAACGGCCCACCAAGGCAACGAUCGGUAGCCGGACUGAGAGGUUGAACGGCCACAUUGGGGCUGAGACACGGCCCAGACUCCUACGGGAGGCAGCAGUGGGGAAUAUUGCACAAUGGGGGAAACCCUGAUGCAGCGACGCCGCGUGGAGGAAGAAGGUCUUCGGAUUGUAAACUCCUGUUGUUGAGGAAGAUAAUGACGGUACUCAACAAGGAAGUGACGGCUAACUACGUG